UGGGGAAUAUUGCACAAUGGGCGCAAGCCUGAUGCAGCCAUGCCGCGUGUAUGAAGAAGGCCUUCGGGUUGUAAAGUACUUUCAGCGGGGAGGGAGGGAGUAAAGUUAAUACCUUUGCUCAUUGACGUUACCCGCAGAAGAAGCACCGGCUAACUCCGUGCCAGCAGCCGCGGUAAUACGGAGGGUGCAAGCGUUAAUCGGAAUUACUGGGCGUAAAGCGCACGCAGGCGGUUUGUUAAGUCAGAUGUGAAAUCCCCGGGCUCAACCUGGGAACUGCAUCUGAUACUGGCAAGCUUGAGUCUCGUAGAGGGGGGUAGAAUUCCAGGUGUAGCGGUGAAAUGCGUAGAGAUCUGGAGGAAUACCGGUGGCGAAGGCGGCCCCCUGGACGAAGACUGACGCUCAGGUGCGAAAGCGUGGGGAGCAAACAGG
RNAcentral lists this ribosomal RNA (429 nucleotides) under Chloroflexota bacterium. Its description in RNAcentral is "Chloroflexi bacterium partial 16S ribosomal RNA". It matches the Rfam family "Bacterial small subunit ribosomal RNA", at positions 355 to 776 of the family's 1533-position model. Lineage: Bacteria; Bacillati; Chloroflexota. The record is from RNAcentral.